UGCCGAGGAAGAAGGCGUGAGUCCAAUGUUGCUUCAUUUGGAUUCAUAUGCAUAUCACCAGGCUACAAAAAUUUCUGAACCAAUUAAAUGGUUUUUGAAACAAAAGUGGAACAACCUAAAAGGAGAAAGUUCAGAUUUUCCAACCGUUGACACAAAAACAGUUGAGGUUCCUCAAGAAACAAACGAUUACGAUUGUGGUCUGUUUGUUAUGUAUUUCAUGAAGUUGUUUCUUAAACAAGCUCAAAAAAGAUUCAAGAUUCAAAAUUUGGAAAUGACAGAAAUCAACUUAUCAAAGCUUUUGAAACAGUCUGCACAAGCUUCCAAAAUCUAGGCUUCACCCACCUAAGCUAGAUAGCCAAGAAUAACAUGUGUAAACAGUGUCAAAAUCAACAUAUUGCGAGGGGUAAGAAAUUCCUCAAAUUGGAAUUCUUUUGGUUUGUUGUAUGAAUAAUAGUU
Molecule: long non-coding RNA, 456 nt
Organism: Daucus carota subsp. sativus
Lineage: Eukaryota; Viridiplantae; Streptophyta; Magnoliopsida; Apiales; Apiaceae
Exons: 3
Source: RefSeq, a predicted model, not a curated record